Molecule: ribosomal RNA, 254 nt
Filed under: uncultured bacterium
Lineage: Bacteria
Description: partial 16S ribosomal RNA
Rfam family: Bacterial small subunit ribosomal RNA
Source: RNAcentral
UACAGAGGUCUCAAGCGUUGUUCGGAUUCAUUGGGCGUAAAGGGCGCGUAGGCGGCAAGGCAAGUCGGGUGUGAAAGCUUGGGGCUUAACCCCGAAAGGGCACUCGAAACUGCGUUGCUAGAGGGCCGGAGAGGAGAUCGGAAUUCACGGUGUAGCAGUGAAAUGCGUAGAGCUCGUGAGGAAGACCGGUGGCGAAGGCGGAUCUCUGGACGGCCCCUGACGCUGAGGCGGCGAAGGCUAGGGGAGCAAACGGG